AUUGAACGCUGGCGGCAGGCCUAACACAUGCAAGUCGAACGAGUGGCGGACGGGUGUGUAAUGUCUGGGAAACUGCCUGAUGGAGGGGGUUCACUACCGGAAACGGUAGCUACUACCGCCUACCAUCAGCUGUGCCCAGAUGGGAUUAGCUUGUUGGUGGGGUAACGGCUCACCAAGGCGACGAUCCCUACCUGGUCUGAGAGGAUGACCAGCCACACUGGAACUGAGACACGGUCCAGACUCCUAAGGUAGGCAGCAGUGGGGAAUAUUGCACAAUGGGCGCAAGCCUGAUGCAGCAAUGCCGCGUGUAUGAAGAAGGCCUUCGGGUUGUAAAGUACUUUCAGCGGGGAGGCGUUACCCGCAGAAGAAGCACCGGCUAACUCCGUGCCAGCAGCCGCGGUAAUUC
RNAcentral lists this ribosomal RNA (406 nucleotides) under uncultured bacterium. Its description in RNAcentral is "partial 16S ribosomal RNA". It matches the Rfam family "Bacterial small subunit ribosomal RNA", at positions 30 to 526 of the family's 1533-position model. The record is from RNAcentral.